AGGCCAGGUUUACCAUUGUGAAUGGCUCAUAUUAGUUACUGUCAAAAAUUAAAAUAAAAACAUUUUAUGUAUUGAUUUUUAGAACUUAAAUCUUUUUUGUCGCGUUAAAGAAAUUAUAGCAACGCAAUUGGGACAGAGAACGUUGUAACGAUUACAACGCAACCGCUCCCAGUUGGUUUGAACAAUUAGUUUCUAAAGCAGGACCUGAUCGCAGAUUGGACCUUCCUUUCCUUGUGGCGGUCUUUUUCCCAGGAGAGACAUCCUUGGUGCCCUCCGUAUUGAAAACGCGCAGCACACAGUAUGAGGCAGCUCGGAUUGCAACAUAAACGACACAACCGAACACAGUCAGCCUCGAACAGCAACUGAUUCUGCAUUGUGGCGGGCAGUAAUAAUUUUAAUCAGGACGAAACACGUAGGUGGAGUUCGUGUUAGCGCUAGAUGUACUCGUGUUCAUCUGGUGGAUGCUGUCUCAUUGUAAUUCUGAAAUUUAAAACCAAUUAUAAUGAAUAUCUAUUUGAAAGCUGAAACGAAUCCAGUAGGUUGGGUAUCAGAUCAACAAUUAAUUCAGUAUCGUCGUUCUCCAUUUGAGUUUCCAUCCACACAAUAUGAAUCGUAUCAAGAAAAUGGAACUAAAUAUCUUAAAAUUUAAAACCGAUAUCAGACACUCUUCAAGACGAGCUAAACGCAUGCACAGGCGAGAUCUUUCUUAGUGGCAUACCGCCGCAAAUUCCUGCAGAAUCGGUUGCCGAAAUCGCUCGCUAAUAGGUGAGAUUAUAUACUGAGAUACAAAGUUACUUUCUCUGGGAACUCUCGAGGCUUUGCUUAUCUUCAAUACAUCAAUCACACACUCAUGCAGCUGGCUAUAAUUCGGUAAAAUUCU
Bactrocera oleae (olive fruit fly) is the source of this 880-nucleotide long non-coding RNA. RefSeq lists it as uncharacterized. Lineage: Eukaryota; Metazoa; Arthropoda; Insecta; Diptera; Tephritidae. The record is from RefSeq and is a predicted model, not a curated record.